This 440-nucleotide ribosomal RNA is filed under the name uncultured bacterium. RNAcentral's name for it is "partial 16S ribosomal RNA". It matches the Rfam family "Bacterial small subunit ribosomal RNA", at positions 28 to 507 of the family's 1533-position model. The record is from RNAcentral.
GACGAACGCUGGCGGCGUGCCUAAUGCAUGCCAGUCGCACGCGGCACCUUCGGGUGCUGCGUGGCGAACGGCUGAGGAACACGUGGGGACCUGUCCGGGAGUGGGGGACAACACCGCGAAAGCGGUGCUAAUCCCGCAUACGCUCUGAGGAGGAAAGCCGAAAGGCGCUCCCGGGUGGCCCUGCGGCCCAUCAGGUUGUUGGUGGGGUAACGGCCUACCAAGCCAAUGACGGGUCGCUGGUCUGUGAGGACGACCAGCCAGACGGGGACUGGGACACGGCCCAGACUCCUACGGGAGGCAGCAGCAAGGAAUUUUCGGCAAUGGGCGCAAGCCUGACCGAGCAACGCCGCGUGCAGGAAGACGGCCUUCGGGUUGUAAACUGCUUUUGCUAGGGAUGAUAACAGACAGUACCUGGCGAAUCAGCCCCGGCUAACUCUGUG